This 492-nucleotide ribosomal RNA is filed under the name uncultured bacterium. RNAcentral's name for it is "partial 16S ribosomal RNA". It matches the Rfam family "Bacterial small subunit ribosomal RNA", at positions 29 to 507 of the family's 1533-position model. The record is from RNAcentral.
AGUGAACGCUGGCGGUAGGCCUAACACAUGCAAGUCGAACGGCAGCACAGUAAGAGCUUGCUCUUACGGGUGGCGAGUGGCGGACGGGUGAGGAAUACAUCGGAAUCUACUUUUUCGUGGGGGAUAACGUAGGGAAACUUAGGCUAAUACCGCAUACGACCUACGGGUGAAAGCAGGGGAUCUUCGGACCUUGCGCGAUUGAAUGAGCCGAUGUCGGAUUAGCUAGUUGGCGGGGUAAAGGCCCACCAAGGCGACGAUCCGUAGCUGGUCUGAGAGGAUGAUCAGCCACACUGGAACUGAGACACGGUCCAGACUCCUACGGGAGGCAGCAGUGGGGAAUAUUGGACAAUGGGCGCAAGCCUGAUCCAGCCAUACCGCGUGGGUGAAGAAGGCCUUCGGGUUGUAAAGCCCUUUUGUUGGGAAAGAAAAGCAGCAGGUUAAUACCCCGCUGUUCUGACGGUACCCAAAGAAUAAGCACCGGCUAACUUCGUG